UAUACAUUUGGCUUCCGCAACAGGUGGAAGGAUAAAAUAAAAACCUUUCUAUUAGUUGAGGACUUUGACCAAUGGAUGAUUGUGACUCAGGGACCUUUUAUGCAAGAAAAGAUUGAUAACAAAGAAAAGAAAGUUGCCAAAGUGAAAGAGGAAUUAAAUGCUGAUGACAAGAUGAUGUUGGAGAAAAAUAUUGAGGCUAAGUUGUAAUUUUCUUAGUCUUGGAGAGAUAAAUAGGAUUUCUAUAUGCAAUCCUGCUAAUGACAUCCAAGAAAGACUGCUCGCAAUGCAUGAAGAAACUCACUCAGACAUGUCACUAAUGGUCUUGAUAAAUACGGAUUCUGAAAAGAUUAAUACUAAAGAUGUUGUGUCCACGAUGGCCAUGAGUUACUUUGAAUAUGAAGCUGGAAACAAGGAGAUAAAUAUCCCUAGUGUUAAAGACCUUGGGUCUACUGGUAGUUCCUAUACAACUAAGAGUCCUAGCGAGAAGGGGAUUCACUUUUGCGUCCGACAAGGAUCUAUUUAUACUAUGCUUGGCAACCACAUGAUAACAUCAGAAAAUCUUGGCAGAGCUUUAUAAGUUGAGUUUAGGCCAAGAUUUGUGGAAGUACUUAUGAAAGUAUAUUUUACGUUUUUGGAAGAUCGAAGGAAAAUAUUUUCACUUCUUUUAUUUGCUGGGGUUAGGAGAUUUGGUGCAACUUGGUGAACACUCUUCUAUUCAUAGCCGUCUAUUAUGUAUUUAUAUAUAUAGUACGAGUUUAUUUUUGCAAAGGUUGUGCACCUACACACACAACUGAGACAUCCUUCUUGUGAGCAGCAACUUUCGAGAACCAAGAGCAAAAUAAAUUAAAGAACACAGUUCGAGAGAUCAUUGAUUCAAGUUUAGUUCGUUUGUCUUGAUUUUGUAAUAGGGGUUUUCUCUGCUUAUAUUAGAAGCUAUUUAUAAGAACUCUUGAGUGACAAUUUUUGUUCUAGACUGAGAAAUUAGUUUGGAGUAAGUAGCUACAAUCAGUUUGAUUGCAGGGUGUUGAGUGACUAGAUUUAGUCUAUUAGGUUAUAAAUGUAUUUUAUAACUUGAAACUGCUCGUUGUUGUUAGUGAAAUUUGUGAGAAAAAUCCUAGAGUUGGGUUGUGAUUUUACUCCCUUGAGCAAGGAGAUUUUUUAAUGUAAAAUUUAUGUCUUCUUUUUGCAUUUA
Molecule: long non-coding RNA, 1192 nt
Organism: Nicotiana tabacum (common tobacco)
Lineage: Eukaryota; Viridiplantae; Streptophyta; Magnoliopsida; Solanales; Solanaceae
Source: RefSeq, a predicted model, not a curated record